Molecule: ribosomal RNA, 1230 nt
Filed under: metagenome
Description: bacterial LSU rRNA
Rfam family: Bacterial large subunit ribosomal RNA
Source: RNAcentral
UGAAUACGAGACGCUAAGGCGUCGAAGUAGUGUAUGUCAUACUUCCAAGAAAAGCUUGCACUGUCAUAGAUAAAAAACGCCUGUACCAUAACCGACACAGGUGGGUAGGUAGAGUAUACUAAGGGGCGCGAGAUAACUCUCUCUAAGGAACUCGGCAAAGUAACUCCGUAACUUCGGGAGAAGGAGUGCCUUAUUAUUAAGGCUGCAAUAACAAGAUCCAAGCAACUGUUUAUCAAAAACACAGGUCUCCGCUAAGUCGUAAGACGAUGUAUGGGGGCUGACGCCUGCCCCGUGCCAGAAGGUUAAAGAAGUUGGUUAGCAUUUGCGAAGCUGAUAACUGAAGCCCUGGUGAACGGCGGCCGUAACAAUAACGGUCCUAAGGUAGCGAAAUUCCUUGUCGGGUAAGUUCCGACCCGCACGAAAGGCGUAAUGAUUUGGAUACUGUCUCGGAGAGGGGCUCGGUGAAAUAGACUUGUCUGUGAAGAUGCGGACUACCUGCACCAGGACAGAAAGACCCUAUGAAGCUUUACUGUAACUUGAAAUUGAAAUUGGACUUUAUUCGCGCAGCAUAGGUGGGAGGCUUGAUUAUAAUCUUGUGGGAUUAUUGGAGCCAUCAGUGAGAUACCACUCUUGUAAUGUUAGAUUUCUAACUUUGAAUCAUUAUCUGGUCAAAGAACAGUUUCAGGCGGGCAGUUUGACUGGGGCGGUCGCCUCCUAAACGGUAACGGAGGCGUACAAAGGUUUCCUCUGAACGGUUAGAAAUCGUAUCUAGAGUGUAAAGGCAUAAGGAAGCUUGACUGUGAGACCUACAAGUCGAGCAGGGACGAAAGUCGGUCUUAGUGAUCUGACGGUACUGAGUGGAAAGGCCGUCACUCAACGGAUAAAAGUUACUCUAAGGAUAACAGGCUGAUCUCCCCCAAGAGUUCACAUCGACGGGGAGGUUUGGCACCUCGAUGUCGGCUCAUCGCAUCCUGGGGCGGUAGUACGUCCCAAGGGUUGGGCUGUUCGCCCAUGAAAUCGGUACGCGAGCUGGGUUCAGAACGUCGUGAGACAGUUCGGUCCAUAUCCGGUGUAGGCGUUAGAAUAUUGAGAGGAGCCUUCUUUAGUACGAGAGGACCGAGAAGGACAUACCUCUGGUGUACCAGUUAUCGUGCCAACGGUAAACGCUGGGUAGCUAUGUAUGGAGUGGAUAACCGCUGAAAGCAUCUAAGUGGGAAGCCCACCUCAAGA